Chlorocebus sabaeus (green monkey) is the source of this 112-nucleotide unclassified non-coding RNA. It matches the Rfam family "Y RNA". Rfam says of the family: Y RNAs are components of the Ro ribonucleoprotein particle (Ro RNP), in association with Ro60 and La proteins. The Y RNAs and Ro60 and La proteins are well conserved, but the function of the Ro RNP is not known. The record is from Ensembl. Lineage: Eukaryota; Metazoa; Chordata; Mammalia; Primates; Cercopithecidae.
GGCUGGUCUGAAGGCAGUGAGUUAUCUCAACUGAUUGCUCACAGUCCGUUACAGAUCGAAAUGCUUGUUCUACUCUUUCCCCCUUCUCACUACUGUACUUGAAUAGCCUUAU